GACGAACGCUGGCGGCGUGCUUAACACAUGCAAGUCGAACGGAAAGGCCCUGCUUUUGUGGGGUGCUCGAGUAGCGAACGGGUGAGUAACACGUGAGUAACCUGCCCUUGACUUUGGGAUAACUUCAGGAAACUGGGGCUAAUACCGGAUAGGAGCUCCUGCUGCAUGGUGGGGGUUGGAAAGUUUCGGCGGUUGGGGAUGGACUCGCGGCUUAUCAGCUUGUUGGUGGGGUAGUGGCUUACCAAGGCUUUGACGGGUAGCCGGCCUGAGAGGGUGACCGGCCACAUUGGGACUGAGAUACGGCCCAGACUCCUACGGGAGGCAGCAGUGGGGAAUAUUGCACAAUGGGCGGAAGCCUGAUGCAGCAACGCCGCGUGCGGGAUGACGGCCUUCGGGUUGUAAACUGCUUUCGCCUGUGACGAAGCGUGAGUGACGGUAAUGGGUAAAGAAGCACCGGCUAACUACGUG
Molecule: ribosomal RNA, 468 nt
Filed under: uncultured bacterium
Lineage: Bacteria
Description: partial 16S ribosomal RNA
Rfam family: Bacterial small subunit ribosomal RNA
Source: RNAcentral